UACGUAGGUGGCAAGCGUUGUCCGGAAUUAUUGGGCGUAAAGCGCGCGCAGGCGGCCUCUUAAGUCUGAUGUGAAAGCCCCCGGCUCAACCGGGGAGGGCCAUUGGAAACUGGGAGGCUUGAGUAUAGGAGAGAAGAGUGGAAUUCCACGUGUAGCGGUGAAAUGCGUAGAGAUGUGGAGGAACACCAGUGGCGAAGGCGAGUCUCUGGGCCGUAACUGACGCUGAGGAGCGAAAGCGUGGGGAGCGAACAGG
Molecule: ribosomal RNA, 253 nt
Filed under: uncultured bacterium
Lineage: Bacteria
Description: partial 16S ribosomal RNA
Rfam family: Bacterial small subunit ribosomal RNA
Source: RNAcentral